This 253-nucleotide ribosomal RNA is filed under the name uncultured bacterium. RNAcentral describes it as "partial 16S ribosomal RNA". It matches the Rfam family "Bacterial small subunit ribosomal RNA", at positions 524 to 776 of the family's 1533-position model. The record is from RNAcentral.
UACGUAGGGUGCAAGCGUUGUCCGGAAUUAUUGGGCGUAAAGAGCUCGUAGGCGGCUUGUCGCGUCGGCUGUGAAAACCCGCGGCUCAACUGUGGGCGGGCAGCUGAUACGGGCAGGCUGGAGUUCGGUAGGGGAGACUGGAAUUCCUGGUGUAGCGGUGAAAUGCGCAGAUAUCAGGAGGAACACCGGUGGCGAAGGCGGGUCUCUGGACAGUUCCUGACGCUGAGGCACGAAGGUCAGGGGAGCAAACGGG